UCCCCAACCAGUUCUUCCCCAAAUCGAACCCUCGAGAGCCCUCCUCCUCCACCGACGCCGCCGCCGCCGACACUCCCUCUGCCCUCGACCGCGCCCUCCACCACCGACCCCUCUGCCCUCGAACGCGCCCUCCACCAUCGACUCCCCCGCUGACCUGUGCGACCCCCACCCAUAUCGAUGACGCCGCUGCGUAGAGGUCAACCUCGCCUCCCUCCACACGCCUCUGGUUUCGCUCCCUUCGGCACCGCCACAAGGGCUGGUCAACGGGGCCGGUGCGUCGAGGUCGACGUCGCCUUUCUCCCCACCACGUCUCCCACCACCCUGACGACGAGUGCGGUGUCUGCUCCCCACUACGCUAGUACAACAUGGUGCUCAGAUCUGUCAUGGAGGAAGCGCGAUGCAGGUGCUACCAGUGAAAGGAUUGGGGAUUGGUUCUAGCAGUUGUAGGUUUGUUUGGAAUUCAUAAUGCUCAUAAUUUGCAAAGGCUAUCAGCCAGGUUAUUGUACACGUACUCUUGUAUUUCAUUUUCUUAUCUUAAUAAGUUAAUAUGCAUGUAUAUGUGCCUAUGAUUUGUAAAAUGUAAUGUUCUUCUAUCCAUCCAAUUUUAGCGAUGUGGACGGGUCUUUGUUUAUUCAGGUUCAGACAUUGCACAACUGAAGGCAAGUGUUUCACAGCUUGAGAAAGUUUACUCACUAAUGGCUGACUGUAUACAACUCUAGAAAGUUUCUUGUGCUAGCAUCUACAAGAACUAAAUUAUAGACAUGAGUGCUGAUUUGAUAUUGAAAAUUGCUCUACAAAAUUAACUACUUUUACUUCCCUGAUUUAUCAUCUAUCGAAUUGUUUCAUAGCAGUUCAGUGGUGCCCUAUCUGAAUUCUCAACCUGCAUGAAACAUUGCACUGGGCAGAAAAUAAUUGUAGAAAGGAAUGUCGUAAGUGGCUGGCACUGCCAUCAGGCUAUCACACACUGCACUAAAUUGGGCUUGUUGGACCAUGCAGGGCAUCUGCACCAGAUAAUAGAAGCCCUGCAAGGGCCAACACGGCUAUGGUUUGCUUGUGAGGAGGGGUUGAUUUCUUGAGUUGCAGCCUGAAUGAUAUGUAUCUUAUGAUACAGAGGAAAGAAAAACAAUAUGUUUCUUACCUUGUUGGUUGGUUGUCUACACGCACAUUUCCUAUGAACCAUGCCUUAAUAAUCGAGCCGCCACUGUAAUCUCACAUCGUGAUCAGUCCUCACUUGAUGAAGUAGCAUACCAACAAGUUAGUUAAUUUUCUGAAGUUCCUGGAAUAAUUUUUUGACGCUGCCUGCUUCGGUACACUUUAUUCUUAACCAUUGGUUGAUCUAAGCUCUUUUUUUACAAGAACACGUCGAUGCAUAGCAUUAAACGCUUGCCGAAAAGAGUCCACAGCUCCUUGCACUCAAGCAUUAUAUUGUCUGACCUCCUAAGGGUCGUUGAGGAGUUGGCAUAUAAUAGCAGCGACACAAAUGAUUAAAAGAUCGAUGUUUCAGUAAAUGUCAGAGGAUGUUACAUUAAAGUGGAAGAUGAGCUAUUGCAGGUUGGGGUAUUGCUUGAGAUGAAUUGUUUCUAUUGGGAGAAAAAUAUGGUACUCCCUCCUUCCAUCUAUAUAGGGCCUAAUGCGGUUUUUAAGACCGUCUUUGACUAUUGACAAGAUUAAUAGUAUAUGACAUGCACAAUGUGAAAAUUAUAUCAUUGAAAGCUCCUUUCACACACGAAUUUAACGGUGUGCUUUGUGUAAGUUGCAUGUCAUAUAUUAUUGCUCUAAUAUUUGGUCAAAGUUAACCUCGAAAAACGCAUUAGGCCCUAUAUAGAUGGAAGGAGGGAGUAAGUCAUAUCUUUGGGUGCUUUUCUGAAUUCAUGGAUAUCAGAAUGAGAUUGUUCUCAUAUAGAAAGGACUGCCUGAUUUGCUUCAUAAAAGUAAUAAUGGAACUGACAUCCAUUCUAUGAUAGUUGACCUCGAUAAUUGAUAUUUAAAGGAGAUAUUAUGCUUAUUCUACCUGGAAUUCUGAUUUCUUCUGCUAGUGUUUCUUUAUCUUGGGCAUCGAGGGUCUGGAGUGUGUUCAUGCUGCACAUCGGCGCAUCGUGUGAUUAUCAUGCGUUCUUCAAUGGGGUCGGACCUCAACAGGAGUAUGCAACUAUGAGCCGUGAUGAGUGCCCGUCUACUACGCCCACGGCAUGCCGUAUUGAGCGAGCCGUUGCUUCCUUCUUUUCUUUUCCUUUUUGAUCGAAGUUCACCGCCUACAACGCCCACGAUAUGGCAUGUUGACCAUGCCCUUGCCGCUGUUUUUUCCCUUUGUGAAUGAACAUAGUUGCCACUGCUUUUUUCUAUGGGACGCUGCUCUUUUAUUUCCUGGAUAACCACGGACGCCGCUGUUUUGUUGUCACGCAAGCACAGUUAAAAAUGAUCUCUUUUUAUCUACCGAACUAAUCAAGAGUUCCAGUCCAGGACAUCAUACAUCAAAAUUGGUGUGGGUCCGCCUUUCUAAUGGUCGUAAUUUACUCAUUAAUGGAGGGUCCACCAAACUAACGGUCCGAUGUGUCUGAUUAAUGUGAGAAUUUCUAGUAAAUCCUCUAUUCUUGAUCCCUAUUUUCCUUUUAGUAUAUAAUAGAUAGAUACCAUUGCAUAUUAGCGUGGGUGAGGUGUGGGCGGCUGUUUAUCUUGGUAGUUAAGUCUUGGAUUUAGUAUUUUUCUUUCGGAUACAUGCUUGUUGCUAUUUCAGAACAUUGAAACUUCAUUUAGAAUUUUGUUUCCUAUGUGCUUCAUGCAAAUGAAACUGCAGUAAAGAUACAAACUAUGCUUGUCCUGAAUGUGCAUAGCCUUUUUAUGCAUACAAUUAGUGGAACCUUUUACAUGUCCAGUGUGCGCAUGUGUCCAGGAACUAAGCUUUUGCAUGUCCUGUGUAUUCUAAAGCUUAGUCUUUUGUUAUUGGGCAAGUACUUGAAACAGUGUCUUGGUUUGCCAGUCGUAGAAUCAUUUAUGAAUAGCAUAGGUGUUGCCUUCACUUGUAUUCCUACGCAUAGUCCAAUACUUCUUUUUCCUUGAUCUAAUGCUCCUUUUUCGUUAAGACAAGCAAAAUGGAAUCACAUCCUGGAUUAUCUCUAUGGUCCUACAUCAUCUUUCAUAGACUAAUUAAGUUAUAACCGGCUUGCAUUGUUUAGGAGAAAUGUACCUUUCCAUGUGUAAAGUGGUUAGACCUGGCAUUACUGUUCAAUAUUUUGUACUCAACAGGAAUCUUGCUAUAGAUAUACACUGGAAGUCUAAAAUCAAUACUAGUAGAAACAGGUGUUCUGUCAACGACGCAUCUAUUUUGUUGCAUGUCUCGGGCCACUCAAUUUGUGAUUAAAUAGGUGUUUUGCAUAUAUGUUUGCCAACUGAUUGACCAUGUAAGACUGGAAACAGCACCAUCUUUGUGACAUCUAACUUGUUCUAUUUUUUUUUUUGCAGAAAGUGCUAGUACAUUGUAUAAGAACAUUGACACAUGUGACUGGGAGCCCAAAAGACUAGUAACACUAGUAGAAAACGGAGCUUUAAAACCGGUUCGUAAGGGCCUUUAGUGCCGGUUCCAUAACCGGCACUAAUUGGUGGGCACUAAAGGCCCCCCCCUUU
This is a long non-coding RNA of Triticum urartu, 3621 nucleotides long. RefSeq lists it as uncharacterized. The record is from RefSeq and is a predicted model, not a curated record. NCBI's taxonomy places the organism in Eukaryota, Viridiplantae, Streptophyta, Magnoliopsida, Poales, Poaceae.